RNAcentral lists this ribosomal RNA (406 nucleotides) under uncultured bacterium. RNAcentral's name for it is "partial 16S ribosomal RNA". It matches the Rfam family "Bacterial small subunit ribosomal RNA", at positions 30 to 526 of the family's 1533-position model. The record is from RNAcentral.
AUUGAACGCUGGCGGCAGGCUUAACACAUGCAAGUCGAGCGCGCGGAGGACGGGUGAGUAAUGUCUGGGAAACUGCCUGAUGGAGGGGGAUAACUACUGGAAACGGUAGCUAAUACCGCAUAACAUCAGAUGUGCCCAGAUGGGAUUAGCUAGUAGGUGGGGUAAUGGCUCACCUGGGCGACGAGCCCUAGCUGGGCUGAGAGGAUGACCAGCCACACUGGAACUUAGACACGGUCCAGACUCCGACGGGCGGCAGCAGUGGGGAAUAUUGCACAAUGGGCGCAAGCCUAAUGAAGCCAUGCCGCGUGUGUGAAGAAGGCCUUCGGGUUUUAAAGCACUUUCAGCGAGGAGGCGUUACUCGCAGAAGAAGCACCGGCUAACUCCGUGCCAGCAGCCGCGGUAAUAC